AGAUGGCGCUGAACGUAGCUACAUCGCGCUACCGUUUGUUCGUAUCAGAAAGUACAACACGUGGAGUCGUCGACCGUCAAGUAUCCUUGGUCACAAGUCCAUGGGAAGCCGUCGAAGUGAAACCUUGCGACGGAGGAAGCCGUCGUAAUGAAACCUUGCGACGGGAGUAUGUGGAAAACAUCGAAUAAAAUAACCAGUUGCUUCUUCUUCUUCCUUAACACCUUUUUUCUCUCUGGCAAAUCGUCCCAGAGAAUACACGGACAGAACUGCGCAGUCUACGACCAGGUAUGUGCGACUCGCUGGCUAAUCAGAAUACCCAGUAAAACCCAGCGACCUAUGUCAUAUUUGGACCUACAUCUACGGACCCUUGCUGAAUACCCCUCAGUAUUUAGCAAGGGUCCGAUUGAUUGUAACAGGCUAUAUAUAAGUGACAAAGAUAUUACACAGACGAUUGUUAACAAGGGCUUAUAAUUAUUACUUACUUAACGGGUCGCGGUAUCCAAACUUGUAGGUAGUAUUUGAUAAGAGCUCUUAGUUAACGGUGGUAGCUGUUUCAGAUCCACAUGUGUUUUCCAUAGGAAGGAGGAUAUGAUGUAUUGAAUAUCUCUGGAAAAUUUUCUACAAAAAGAAAUACACAAAAUGGGAAUUGAAGCAAUAAUCUCUUGAUUCAUGUUGAUUUUGUUAAAAAUAUAUUCUUUUUAACCAAUCUUUGAAUUUUACUUUUUAUAGCUUAGGAUUUAUCAUAAGCAGAAUGGGAAUUGAAAGAGAACAAUUAACGCGGUCCAAUAGUUAUAAAUAUGCAAACGAAUGGGAAUAGCAAUCUGUCCGUCCGUUGGCACGGCGGAGCGAUUGCAUAAUCAAAUAUAACCGUUGACCGGGUAACCCCACCUCAUUUGACCUCUUUAGCAAUUGUCAUGUGUAGGAAUUGAUUUCUGUGAUUUGCGGUCUACUGUCGGGU
Bicyclus anynana (squinting bush brown) is the source of this 958-nucleotide long non-coding RNA. RefSeq lists it as uncharacterized. The transcript is spliced from 3 exons. The record is from RefSeq and is a predicted model, not a curated record. Lineage: Eukaryota; Metazoa; Arthropoda; Insecta; Lepidoptera; Nymphalidae.